This is a long non-coding RNA of Zeugodacus cucurbitae (melon fly), 1717 nucleotides long. RefSeq lists it as uncharacterized. The record is from RefSeq and is a predicted model, not a curated record. NCBI's taxonomy places the organism in Eukaryota, Metazoa, Arthropoda, Insecta, Diptera, Tephritidae. The transcript is spliced from 4 exons.
AAUAACAUUUUAGCACAGCUAACAUUUGCUCCUUCUUAUUAUUAUACAUUCUUUGGAAUAAUAAUAAUAAUUAUUAUUAUUAUUAUACGUUCUUUGAUUAUACGUUCUUUAAUUAUACGUUCUUUGACACAGGUCAUUUAUUACUUCCACCGGAUAACAACAGGUGGCGCUAAAUGAAUAAUUACAAAUAUGUUCAAAAGAUGUCACCGUAAUCUACGAUUAUGCUUUUUUCCUACUAUCUAAUAGAUGACGCUCUCCGCUUUCGAAAUGACGGUGUAGAUGUCGCUGCAGCUCUUAACAGUCUUCUCUGCAGAUGUGAAAUAGAAUUGAGAAUCAAACUGAUGCGGAACACCAAGCGGAUGCAGAAAAGAUUUUAGAAUCAUAGUAUUUACAAGUUGUGCAGGAAUUAGGAGUGGCGGGCUAAUGAUAGAUGACUGUGCUACGCGAAAUAAUAUAUUUUUGGAAAUUGAUUUAAUAGUCCCUUUUUCCAGCACUAUGAUUAUUUUAAAAUACAGGGUGCAUUAUAUACUGAUUAAAAAGAAAAGAAGAACAGUAUUAAAAAAUUCACAUUUCUAAAAUAUUGUUAUUAAAUAUUUUAGACAAACUGUGGCAUUGUCUACAAUUAUAGAAUGCUCUAAUGAGAAAACGGUUUCUGUUCGAAAAAAUUGAUUAUGGUAAUAAAUUGUAAUAGUUUCUUAAUUAUAAUAAUUCGGUGAAGAAUUUCCAAGCUAGUUCGGUAAAGCUGGUGAAAAUAUUCUACAAACAAGGAAAAGUCUACUAAAAUUUAUUCAUAAUCCUAGUACUCCAUAUGUAAUCAGAAUUAUAUCGUUAUGUUAAAAAAAAACAUUUUUCUAAGCUGGGGAAUAAUAUAUAUGUACAAAAUUUUUUCAAAAUAUUAAAUUUUUAAAGAAAUCUAAAUCAACCCCCGUCUUUGCUGAAUUGUAUAAAUUGAUUUUACAUUCAAGCAACCAUAAAUGAACAUUGGCCAAGUUUUCAAGAUGCGUUUUCUCCAAUAAUUUCAAUAGAGGUCAAACUGCUGCGAAUCACUAACACAGGGCGUUACAGCUGGGCUAAUUUGCAGAUCGUUUGUAAGACGUUUCAUGGUUAAAUUAUGGGGAAUUGUCGAUAGACCUAAAAUGCACCUAGAAAAUCAACCUUGAUCGCCUGUGACGAGGAAUUGCUUGAAUCGCAAGAUGAAGAUUUGACUGAAACCGACUUGGAGGAAAUGUUAAAUUCACAACCUAUUGAAAAAGAGGCUUCAACAAGCACUGGAAACGUGACAUUCAAUUUGAAAAAUCUUAGUGAAGGUUUAAGAAUGGCAAAUGAGCUCUGCAAUUUCUUUAUGAACAUUGAUCCGUGUAUGGAACGAAGUCUAAUUUUUAAGAGACAAAUUGCUAAUGCGACUGCUGUGUAUCAGUCUGAAUUGAAGGAGCUUUUGAAAACUGCUAAGCAAGAAAAAAUUUCAAAAUUCUUCAAACCAUUGCCUAAGCCUUAAGAUAAUUAAUUAAAAUGAACAUAUCCUCCAUAAUCCCAUAUAAAUUGCCAUCCCGUAUUCACGGUUUCUGUAUUAGCGGCAUAUUUAUGGAACAUAUACCCCGCGAAUAAAGAGCUUUUACUGUACUAGCAAAAUUGAAAUGAAUUAUGUUCAUACCUUUAUUGUUAAUUGAAUAAUAAAAAUAGGAAUUGAUUUAAUUCGUGAUCCAUGUAAACCCUUUUU